Pocillopora verrucosa is the source of this 161-nucleotide non-coding RNA. Lineage: Eukaryota; Metazoa; Cnidaria; Anthozoa; Scleractinia; Pocilloporidae. The record is from RefSeq and is a predicted model, not a curated record.
CAGGGAAACAAGAUAGUUGGGUGCAACAAGUUGGAAAGCCUGCUGAAAACAGCGAUUACCAUCACAGCUUACCUUUGGGCCAAGAUACAGUGCCAAACUUAUUAACUGAAGAUUUUAGGGAAGCAAAAGAGGUUUACUUUAAGAAAUUACAAAAGGAAAAU